GACGAACGCUGGCGGCGUGCCUAACACAUGCAAGUUGAGCGACGAACCAGGGCUUGCCCUGGGGCAAAGCAGCGAACGGGUGAGUAACACGUGGGUAACCUACCCCGAUAACCGGGACAACCCGAGGAAACUCGGGCUAAUACCGGAUGUGCUCACUGGACUUCGGUUCAGUGCGUAAAGGAAGCUUCGGCCUCCGUAUCGGGAGGGGCCCGCGGCCCAUUAGUUAGUUGGGGAGGUAACGGCUCACCAAGACCGCGAUGGGUAGCUGGUCUGAGAGGACGAUCAGCCACACUGGGACUGAGACACGGCCCAGACUCCUACGGGAGGCAGCAGUGGGGAAUCUUGCGCAAUGCGCGGAAGCGUGACGCAGCAACGCCGCGUGGGGGAAGAAGGCCUUCGGGUUGUAAACCCCUUUCAGGAGGGACGAAGGUUCGGCGGUGAAUAGCCGUCCGGACUGACGGUACCUGCACAAGAAGCCCCGGCUAACUACGUGCCAGCCGCCGCAGUAA
This 509-nucleotide ribosomal RNA is filed under the name uncultured bacterium. RNAcentral's name for it is "partial 16S ribosomal RNA". It matches the Rfam family "Bacterial small subunit ribosomal RNA", at positions 28 to 523 of the family's 1533-position model. The record is from RNAcentral.